UCAAGCGACUAAGUGUAUGUGGUGGAUGCCUUGGCGAUCACAGGCGAUGAAGGACGUGACAGCCUGCGAAAAGCUGUGGGGAGCUGGCAAAUAAGCUUUGAUCCACAGAUGUCCGAAUGAGGGAACUCACCUGCUUUGCAGGUAUCCCAUCCUGAAUAUAUAGGGAUGGGAGGCGAACGAAGCGAACUGAAACAUCUAAGUAGCUUCAGGAAAAGAAAUCAACCGAGAUUCCGAAAGUAGCGGCGAGCGAAAUCGGAUCAGCCCAGCACUCGAUAGCAGCCAACUUACGGGAACGGUCUGGAAAGUCCGGCCAUAGAGGGUGAUAGCCCCUUACUGGAAAAGGCAGCUGUGGUACUAAGUGUGCGAUAAGUAGAGCGGGACACGUGACAUCCUGCUCGAAGAUGGGGGGACCAUCCUCCAAGGCUAAAUACUCGUGAUCGACCGAUAGCGUACCAGUACUGUGAAGGAAAGGCGAAAAGAACCCCGGGAGGGGAGUGAAAUAGAACCUGAAACCGCAUACAUACAAACAGUAGGAGCCUCGUUAAGGGGUGACUGCGUACCUUUUGCAUAAUGGGUCAGCGACUUACGUUUAAUGGCGAGCUUAACCGUAUAGGGGAGGCGCAGCGAAAGCGAGUUCGAACAGAGCGUUCAGUCGUUAGGCGUAGACCCGAAACCAGAUGAUCUAUCCAUGGCCAGGUUGAAGGUGUGGUAACACACACUGGAGGACCGAACCGACUAGUGUUGCAAAAUUAGCGGAUGAGCUGUGGAUAGGGGUGAAAGGCUAAACAAAUCUGGAGAUAGCUGGUUCUCCCCGAAAACUAUUGAGGUAGUGCCUCGUGUAUGACUCCAGGGGGUAGAGCACUGUUAUGGCUAGGGGGACAUGGCGUCUUACCAAACCAUGGCAAACUCCGAAUACUUGGAAGUUUGAGCACGGGAGACAGAGCACCGGGUGCUAACGUCCGGACUCAAGAGGGAAACAACCCAGACCGCCGGCUAAGGUCCCUAAUAUUGACUAAGUGGAAAACGAAGUGGAAAGGCUAAGACAGUCAGGAAGUUGGCUUAGAAGCAGCCAUCCUUCAAAGAAAGCGUAAUAGCUCACUGAUCGAGUCUUUCUGCGCGGAAGAUGUAACGGGGCUAAGUCAAUAACCGAAGCCGCGGAUUCACACUUGUGUGUGAGUGGUAGGGGAGCGUUCUGUAAGCCUGCGAAGGUGACUCGUAAGGGUUGCUGGAGGUAUCAGAAGUGCGAAUGCUGACAUGAGUAACGUUAAAGCGGGUGAAAAGCCCGCUCGCCGUAAGCCCAAGGUUUCCUGCUCUACGUUCAUCGGAGCAGGGUGAGUCGGCCCCUAAGGUGAGGCUGAGAAGCGUAACUGAUGGGAACAAGGUUAAUAUUCCUUGACCACCGCUGAAUGCGAAGGGGGGACGGAGUAUUGAAGAUCAUCCGGGUGUUGGAUAUCCCGGUUUGCGAGCGUAGGAGGCUGACAGGCAAAUCCGUCAGCGAAUCUCCGAGGCAAAGCAUCGAGCUCUCUUUUGAGCGAAGUGAUUGGAUGUGCUUCCAGGAAAAGCCUCUAAGCUCCAGUUCAGCGGGACCGUACCGCAAACCGACACUGGUGGGCGAGCUGAAUAUGCUCAGGCGCUUGAGAGAACUCAGGAGAAGGAACUCGGCAAAUUGACACCGUAACUUCGGGAUAAGGUGUGCCUUUGUAGCGUGGAGGGAGAAACACCCCGAGCGCGAAGAGGUCUCAGAUAAUCGGUGGCUGCGACUGUUUAUUAAAAACACAGCACUCUGCAAAGACGAAAGUCGACGUAUAGGGUGUGAUGCCUGCCCGGUGCUGGAAGAUUAAUUGAUGGGGUGCAAGCUCCUGAUCGAAGUCCCAGUAAACGGCGGCCGUAACUAUAACGGUCCUAAGGUAGCGAAAUUCCUUGUC
This 1925-nucleotide ribosomal RNA is filed under the name human gut metagenome. RNAcentral's name for it is "bacterial LSU rRNA". It matches the Rfam family "Bacterial large subunit ribosomal RNA", at positions 3 to 1973 of the family's 2925-position model. The record is from RNAcentral.